CUGUUGAGCUUGACUCUAGCCAAGCACAGGCCUCUGUGACUAUAUCGUAGCGAGGUGGGAGAAAUGUGUGAGACCACUGACAUAGUCGGCGGGGGCACUCGCAAAGCUUGGUGGGGAGUUUGGCUGGGGCGGCACGACUACUAAAACAUAACGUAGACGUCCAAAGGUAAGCUCCGAGGGGAUGGAAACCACUCCGAGAGUAUAAGGGCAAAAGCUUGCUUUAGUUAUUAAUGUAAAUUAAUAAUACUGGAAACAGGGGCCUAGAGAUCCUCUAUGAAACUAAGCAUAGAGGUGACGGAAAAGUUACCACAGGGAUAACUGGCUUGUGGCGGCCGAGCGUCCAUAGCGACGCCGCUUUUUGAUUCUUCGAUGUCGGCUCUUCCGAGCAUGGUGGAGUAUCAGCCACCAAGUGUGUGAUUGUUCACCAACUAACAGGGAACGUGAGCUGGGUUUAGACCGUCGCGAGACAGGUUAGUUUUACCCUACUGCAUCGCGUCCGAGAGUAGGUCGGGGCAGUACGAGAGGAAGUGCCGAUCAGAACCGCUGGUGAUACUUUCGUCUGUUAAGGCGCGAAGUGUAGCUACGUUCUUCUUAUAAUAGCUGAAAGCCUCUAAGCUAGAAUGAGUACUUAAGGACGCAAAGAUAUGAAGACUACAUAUGUAAGGAUGAGGGUUGUACGAUAUAAGCUUCUGCGAGUAUUUCAGACCACUUAUUUCCUUUUUUAGAACAUGCUUGCUCGGAUACAUACAGG
This 751-nucleotide ribosomal RNA is filed under the name Enterocytozoon bieneusi H348. RNAcentral describes it as "eukaryotic LSU rRNA". It matches the Rfam family "Eukaryotic large subunit ribosomal RNA", at positions 2413 to 3401 of the family's 3401-position model. The record is from RNAcentral. Lineage: Eukaryota; Fungi; Microsporidia; Enterocytozoonidae.